Eucalyptus grandis is the source of this 946-nucleotide long non-coding RNA. RefSeq lists it as uncharacterized. The transcript is spliced from 3 exons. The record is from RefSeq and is a predicted model, not a curated record. Lineage: Eukaryota; Viridiplantae; Streptophyta; Magnoliopsida; Myrtales; Myrtaceae.
AUAGUCUCCAUUUGACCUCUGAGACGUGACAACUAUAUCUUUGCUGUGGCAAAUGCGUUAACUUGCAAUCUAAAGACUACGUUGUCUUGCUGGCGGAUUGAUUUUUGGCCAGGAGCUUGAAUUGUUGCUUCAGCUGGACAUCCAAGUUUCUGGGGCCAAGAGAGCUACAAUCUUGGAUGUCGACUGUGGCAGUGAGUCCUAUUGACUUGCAUGGUAGCAUAAGUUGAAAUGUCAAACAGAAAGGAAAUUAUUUUUGUCUUGAAAUGCAAUAUUUUCAUCGAGUUCAGAGUAGAAGGGUCUUCAGGUACUUGCACUAUUCCAGCGACCUGUAUUAAAAAAUGUUUGGUAUUGGAGCAUUUUCUGUUGAUUAUUACUUAUUAUGGAGGAUGAGGCUAUAUAUAUGAUGUUAAAAAGGAACAUGGCUAUUCACCACAUCACAGGGUAUUGUAUCCAUUUGUUUCCUAAAGUCUGUUUAGUAAGAGAUCACUUCUGUGAUGAAAGCGCACGGUGGGCAGUACACAUUUGAUAUGAGUAGUCAAUGGGCAGGGGCAUUCAUUGCAGACAUAAGCACCCAGAUUCAGGUUCCCUAUCUUCUCACAAAGGUCACAAUAGUACUCACUGGUAUCAUCUUUGAUGAACGAAGCGUAAAGUAUGAGUUGAUGAAAGUUAGUGGCAAUCUUUUACCGUAGUGGAAUGCAAUCUGUGAUCACUAAGAUUGCACUGCACACAGCCGUAUAAGUCGAACCUGCAAAAUUUACCAGAGACACUGCAUAGGAAUCACAGUUCUGUAGACUAAAAAUAAGAAAGAGCAUAUGCUUGUGGAGGUGAUGUUUCAAAGUGGGCCUUUCAAAAGUGCAUGAAAUGUUGAAAUCGUAGUCACAUUCCAUGCAAUAAAAGACAGAGCGUUGACACUCUUCAGGAGAUCUGUCGACAAUGCUCCUUCCUA